Long non-coding RNA from Polypterus senegalus (gray bichir), 539 nucleotides. RefSeq lists it as uncharacterized. NCBI's taxonomy places the organism in Eukaryota, Metazoa, Chordata, Cladistia, Polypteriformes, Polypteridae. The record is from RefSeq and is a predicted model, not a curated record. The transcript has 3 exons.
AUCUUUAUAUUCUAAUGUCUUCUCUGAAAUGUGCUUAAGUGAAAGGACACGGCAGAGUGUCAAGCAGGCAGAAGUGUGGCAGAAAUUGACCCAGGGAGGCCAAAAAUGGUAUUGUCAAGCUUGGGUCAUUAGUUGCAUGAGAGUCAAGAAGGUGAAUCCAGUUUUCCAAGGAAAUUACAGUGCCAAGAAAUUGCCCAGUGAUGGCAACCGACACUGCUCUUCUGGUUCAGCCUCCAUAAAAACUUAAGCCUCCUGGAAGGAGUCGUCAUUACUGGCAUGAGCGACCCACCAGACAGAGCCCCGCUACCACUGUGACCUUGGCUAACUAGCCCAACAUGCCUUAUUUGUAAAUUUUGAUUCUCCACAUAACGGAAAGCACAUGCCAAAGAGUGUCCCUUCUUUAUUGCAUUUUGUGCCUUUUAAUAAACAGUUGCUCCAACCCAGUUGACGCCUGAACUUCUUGCUUCAUGGAGCUGUCAUUCCUGCACAAUAUAUGUAAUCGUUAAGGCUGCAAAUUAAAUAAUGCUUACAAUGUGAUA